UCAGCACAGAGCCUGAGGUGGGGCUCGAAUUCAUGAAACGAUGAGAUCAUGACCUGAGCCAAAACCGAGAGUUGGAUACUUAACUGACUGAGCCACCUGGGUACCCCUCUCUUUUUUUUGAAUGGAGAUAUUUAUUACGAUUUUCUUAUUGCCAUCUCACCAUUGCAUGUUGGGUAUGUGAGGAGAGGGAGCAAACAAAUGUGUCUGUUUAGUUCACAAAUUUCCGGACUAAGAGGAGCCACAUGCAAGAAGCUGUACCUAAGAGGCCUUGUCCACAUCUGAACCAUCCACAUCUGGAUGAAGUUCCCAAGAUAUUGGACUCUGCGUUUGUGAUAAAACUAUAUGAUAGUUUCCAGCAAUCUCGGAACUUGUCCCGUGAAGAGAUGGAGUGGGUUUCUCUACCUCUUGAAUUGUGGCUGGCUCAUGACUCGAUUCAACCAACCAACCAACCAAACAGACAAAAAUGUGACAGAAGUGACAAUGUGUAAACUAAAGUAACAGACCACAGUCGCCGGUAUUUUCUUUCCUCUUCAAAACCACUUCUGCUCCAAAGACCAUGAACCUGAACUGAAGAAACGACUCUUUCCUGCUGGUGUGAGAUAAUUCAGUCUCCAUGAUGUCUUAAUCCUGGGCCUCCCUUAAUUGACUUCUAACUGUGCUGAACUGUGGCUGCUAGGAGUUGCAAUGUGGAUCGCAAUUUACAAGGCACUGGAAUCGUUUCUCGUCCUCAAAUUAGUCCUGAGCCAUACUCGAGAAAGAUUAAGAAAAAAAAAAAAGGUUUACCUUUCCUGGCUGUCUUGCCAUCUCAAAACGGCCACAGAACUUACUCAGCUUUGAAGAGACUGGAUCCUCCAUUUGAGACCUGAAGACCCUCCAUCAUGCAAGACUGACUGCCUGUCUAUAACUUUGUGGAGAGGCUGGUAUUAACAUACCAGGGCUCAUGGGUGAGCAUUCAGAUUGUUCUAUGAGGACGGUACAGUAUUGAUUUCAAGUUUACAUAAGACACUUGCUUGGAAGCAAAUUACAGGUUUUACAGGGACAACACACAUUGGCAUCAGGAGUGUUGGUUCCAGAAAACUGCUUGAGAAUUAAAUAUGUGCUCCACUGUGUCAAUGUCACCUAGGAGCUCUACUUAAGAGAAAAAGUGGAAGAAGAAGAGAAGAAGUGGAUUACAUUUUUAAAAUUAUCAUCAACAUAAAUUGAGUCUCAGGUGCUCUUUUUCUCCUUCUGCUUCCUGACACGUGACGACUACAUCUGCAAGCGUUGGAGUCGGACAUCCUAAGCCUGAGCCCAGACUUUGCCACUUGCCAGCGUGUCGGAGCUAGAUUAACCUUCUUUAACCCUCAGCUCUCUCAUCGAGCUGGAGAAUGGCCUCAGGUUGGAGGUGGAAAAGACUGGAAUGUGGUUUUAUGCCAGGCUGUGAGCUAUACAAGCCACUUCACCAGGAAACCAUUUCCAAGCCACAUACCGCUAGUAAUUAAUGCUGUAGUCGUGACACUUCCGUAAGUGGGUUACAGAUUGUUGCUGUGGUGUGUACAAAGCUUAUUGGAUAAAUGUCUUUAGGAAAGGGGAAGACAUUAGUCUCUUGGUGAUCAAUAGGAUAAUAAAUUGUGUGUUGUUUCUGUACCUGGAUUUAAUGUUUACCUUUCAAAUAAACGCUAGCUUGCUCAUUG
Neofelis nebulosa (Clouded leopard) is the source of this 1673-nucleotide long non-coding RNA. RefSeq lists it as uncharacterized. The record is from RefSeq and is a predicted model, not a curated record. The transcript has 9 exons. Lineage: Eukaryota; Metazoa; Chordata; Mammalia; Carnivora; Felidae.